This 413-nucleotide ribosomal RNA is filed under the name uncultured bacterium. Its description in RNAcentral is "bacterial SSU rRNA". It matches the Rfam family "Bacterial small subunit ribosomal RNA", at positions 917 to 1333 of the family's 1533-position model. The record is from RNAcentral.
GGGCCCGCACAAGCGGUGGAGCAUGUGGUUUAAUUCGAUGAUACGCGAGGAACCUUACCAGGGCUUAAAUGUAGUGGGACAGGUCUAGAGAUAGACCCUUCUUCGGACUCAUUACAAGGUGCUGCAUGGUUGUCGUCAGCUCGUGCCGUGAGGUGUCAGGUUAAGUCCUAUAACGAGCGCAACCCCUAUCGUUAGUUGCCAUCAAGUAAAGUUGGGAACUCUAGCGAAACUGCCGGUGCAAACCGAGAGGAAGGUGGGGAUGACGUCAAAUCAUCACGGCCCUUACGUUCUGGGCUACACACGUGCUACAAUGGUCGGUACAGAAAGCAGCCACUACGCGAGUAGGAGCGAAUCUUCAAAGCCGAUCACAGUUCGGAUCGGAGUCUGCAACUCGACUCCGUGAAGCUGGAAUC